This 892-nucleotide long non-coding RNA is filed under the name Bos taurus (domestic cattle). Its description in RNAcentral is "long non-coding RNA NONBTAT014863". Lineage: Eukaryota; Metazoa; Chordata; Mammalia; Artiodactyla; Bovidae. The record is from RNAcentral.
UCCUUCCUGUGUCGUUAACUCAAUCUCAUCACGAGAAUAAUGCUAUAAAAGAUUUCAUGGUAAAUUUUUGGAGACUUAUUCUAGCCUACUCCUCUAGCUAUACUUAAAAUUGUAGCUAAGUCAAAACUGUUAAAUGAACAGAUAGAACAAUUUAUAUUAACCUAAUAUACUUGGCAUAAGGCAAUGCACAUUGUAAUCAACAUGACAAGCAGAUAAAUGUUCUACACAAACCAAAGAUGAAAAGUUACUGAACCAGUCUGCUGGAACUUUGUAAAGCCAGAACCAUAGCAGUCAGAAGAGGGGUCAUAGGCGUGUAUCCAGCUCACUCGAGGUUGUAGGUUUUUGACUGAAGAUGCCUCUACAUUUUGCAUUUCUCUGCCUUCAGAAACUAUCUUCUUCUUUAAUAUACAUGUGACUUUUUCAUCGUGAGGUAGUGACAGUUACGAACCAAAAACAUCUUUUGACUCCUUCUGAAACUCAGAUGGCUUUCCAUCCAGUUGUAGACAGGUGGGUGAAGGUGGUCAGAAGUCCCACAUUGGGUUGGAAGAAACCCAUGGUCAAGGAACCCAACACAAGUCACAAAGGCUCUUCUGAGCUCAGAGAAAGCCUGGAAGACACACAUACUUCAUGGAAAGAUUAUCUGAAGGGAUUUAUUUUUUUAUGUCCCUGUUUUUUCUUCUGAUAAUAUUAAUUGCUGUACACACGACCAAGCCAUGAGGUUAUAUUUAUUCAGAAAAGUACAAAAUAACUGUGACCCGAUGGUUUUCUAUCCUGGUGGGAGUGAAAAGAAAACAUUCCUUUCACUUAUUCAUCAAAUGAUACUAGGCACUCAGAACUAAAUUGUUUAUGCAAUAAAUACUUAUGAACGAGUAGGUUUUGGCCACUACCGCCA